AACGAACGCUGGCGGCAUGCCUAACACAUGCAAGUCGAACGAGACCUUCGGGUCUAUUGGCGCACGGGUGCGUAACGCGUGGGAACCUGCCCUUAGGUUCGGAAUAACUCCCCGAAAGGGGUGCUAAUACCGGAUAAUGUCUUCGGACCAACGAUUUAUCGCCUUUGGAUGGGCCCGCGUUGGAUUAGCUAGUUGGUAGGGUAAAAGCCUACCAAGGCGACGAUCCAUAGCUGGUCUGAGAGGAUGAUCAGCCACACUGGGACUGAGACACGGCCCAGACUCCUACGGGAGGCAGCAGUGGGGAAUAUUGGACAAUGGGCGAAGGCCUGAUCCAGCAAUGCCGCGUGAGUGAUGAAGGCCUUAGGGUUGUAAAGCUCUUUUACCCGGGCUGAUAAUGACAGUACCGGGAGAAUAAGCUCCGGCUAACUCCGUG
This 433-nucleotide ribosomal RNA is filed under the name uncultured bacterium. Its description in RNAcentral is "partial 16S ribosomal RNA". It matches the Rfam family "Bacterial small subunit ribosomal RNA", at positions 29 to 507 of the family's 1533-position model. The record is from RNAcentral.